CCGCGAAAGGCUCAUUAAAUCAGCUAUAAUUUAAUUGAUGGUACAAUCACUUUUACUUGGAUAACUGUGGCAAUUCUAGAGCUAAUACAUGCAAAAUGAAUUCCGACCGCGCGGGCGGGCUCUUUUACAAGCUCGUCUUCGCGGAACGAAUGCUUUUAUUAGAACAAAACCAAUCGGAUCUUUCGUCGGCUCGCGUCACUUUUUUUUCGUUCUUUUCUCUCGUUCGGUGACGUCUUUCGCGCUCUUCCUCCGUUCCUUUCUCCGCGAUCGCUUCGUCGAGAUUGAUUUCUCGCGCGAGCGAAAACGGAGAGUACACGGGGAAGGGAGGGCACACGGGAGCGCGAAAGCAUCCGUUCGAAACAACGGGGAAAGUUGCGAAAAAAGAACGGUGUGCGCGGAAAAAGCUCGAAAGAAAUCCGCAAAAAUAAUUUUGAGGAAUCUGAAUAACUUUACGCUGAUCGCACGGUCACGAACCGGCGACGCAUCUUUCAAAUGUCUGACUUAUCAACUUUCGAUGGUAGGCUACGCGCCUACCAUGGUGAUAACGGGUGACGGGGAAUCAGGGUUCGAUUCCGGAGAGGGAGCCUGAGAAACGGCUACCACAUCCAAGGAAGGCAGCAGGCGCGCAAAUUACCCACUCCCGGCACGGGGAGGUAGUGACGAAAAAUAACGAUGCAGGACUCAUUACGAGGCUCUGCAAUCGGAAUGAGAACACUCUAAAUCAUUUAACGAGUAUCCAUUGGAGGGCAAGUCUGGUGCCAGCAGCCGCGGUAAUUCCAGCUCCAAUAGCGUAUAUUAAAGUUGCUGCGGAUAAAAAGCUCGUAGUUUGAUUUGUGUUUCGAGCGAAUGGUUCAAAAAAAUUGUCGAUUAUAAAAAAAGGAAUUUUUUCACAACCGUUUCGCGACGAAACUUACCGUCGGAAAGAGAGAGCGUCGAAAGCAAAAAAAAAAAAAAAAAGGCGGAAAAAAAAGUUUUACGGGGGGGUUCCCAAGCUUGUGGAAACUCUUUUUAAAAGGCCAAAGCCAAACCAGCUUUGGUUUUGGUUUUUUCCGGCGCGGGGGGAGGGGAAAGGAAAAAAACGGAAACUUUGGUUUAACCCGGACUUGGAAAUUUCCCCGCGCGUUUUCCGGUUUUUCGCCUUGGGAAGGACCGGCGGGGGGGGAAAAAACCAAAAACGGAGGGGGGGUUGGGGGCGGGUGUUGGUUUUUUUUUUUUUUUUUUGUUUUGCUGGUUUUCCCUUUUUUUUUGCCGGGGGGUUGGCGGGAGGGCCCCGGGGAAUUUUUGGGGGCGCCGGGCGGGUCGUUUGUCCAGGGGACGUUUUGGAAAUGUUUGUGGGGUUUUUUUUUUUUUUUUUGUUCUGCUUAAAAAAAAAACGAAUCGCUUUAAUACGAUUGGUAUCUACGAAAAAAGCGAGCGAUCUCGCUUUCGAAUUCGUUCGUUUAUUUUUUUGGCGUCUUUGAAUUUUUUAACGAAAAAAAUAAUACAAAAAAAUCGUUUGCGUUUUCGACGCGAUCUCAACACAAUCCCGUCGCGCGCGUGGUUUCGUUCGCGAGCGCCGCGUCGCGCGUCGGGCCGACACGUUUACUUUGAACAAAACUGAGUGCUUAAAGCAGGCCAAUUGAAACCGCCGGAAAGUCUUAUGCAUGGAAUAAUGGAAUAGGGCCACGGUUCUAUUUUGUUGGUUUUCGGAAUUUCCGAGGCAAUGAUUAAUGGGGACAGGCGGGGGCAUUAGUAUUGCGACGUUAGAGGUGAAAUUCUUGGAUCGUCGCAAGACUGACCUAAGCGAAAGCAUUUGCCAAGGAUGUUUUCUUUAAUCAAGAACGAAAGUUGGAGGUUCGAAGGCGAUCAGAUACCGCCCUAGUUCUUACCGUAAACUAUGCCGGCUAGCGAUCCGUCGACGUUCGUUUAGAUGAUUCGGCGGGCAGCUUGAGGGAAACCAAAGCCUUCGGGUUCCGGGGGAAGUAUGGUUGCAAAGCUGAAACUUAAAGGAAUUGACGGAAGGGCACCACCAGGAGUGGAGCUUGCGGCUUAAUUUGACUCAACACGGGAAACCUCACCAGGCCCGGGCACCGGAAGGAUUGACAGAUCAAGAGCUCUUUCUUGAUUCGGUGGGUGGUGGUGCAUGGCCGUUCUUAGUUGGUGGAGCGAUUUGUCUGGUUAAUUCCGAUAACGAACGAGACUCUAGCCUGUUAACUAGGCGUCGAUUCGAUUCCUCCGCGGUCGAAUCGUCCGGCAUGGAACGGAUUCGGUUUUUUUUCAAUUUGCGAGCGCGCUCGACGAGGGAGAGCGGUCGUCUCAUCCUUUUCUCACGCGGUCUUUUCUCUCUCGGGAGAGAGAGCGCGGCGGGAGAAGGAGGACGAUGCGCGGCUCUCGCCGAAACGCGUUCGCAAAGAAAACUCGAACGCGUUCAAAACACUGUCGGCGUGAUUGAAAUCUUCUUAGAGGGACAAGCGGCGUCCAGCCGCGCGAGAUUGAGCAAUAACAGGUCUGUGAUGCCCUUAGAUGUUCUGGGCCGCACGCGUGCUACACUGAAGGAAUCAACGUGUGCGUACAAAGUCCUAGGCCGAGAGGUCCGGGUAACCCGUUGAAUUUCCUUCGUGAUAGGGAUCGGGGCUUGCAAUUGUUUCCCGUGAACUAGGAAUUCCCAGUAAGCGCGAGUCAUAAGCUCGCGUUGAUUACGUCCCUGCCCUUUGUACACACCGCCCGUCGCUACUACCGAUCGAACGAUUUAGUGAGGUCUUUGGACUCGUACGCGGGGGACGGAGCGCGCGGCGCGUUUUUGCGAGCGCGCCGCCGAACGACUGCUCGCAGCUGCGAGGAAGACGACCGAACUUA
RNAcentral lists this ribosomal RNA (2835 nucleotides) under Haematopinus quadripertusus. Its description in RNAcentral is "partial 18S ribosomal RNA". The stretch from base 453 to 2835 matches the Rfam family "Eukaryotic small subunit ribosomal RNA". Lineage: Eukaryota; Metazoa; Arthropoda; Insecta; Psocodea; Haematopinidae. The record is from RNAcentral.